This 378-nucleotide unclassified non-coding RNA is filed under the name plant metagenome. RNAcentral describes it as "partial contains 5.8S ribosomal RNA, internal transcribed spacer 2, and large subunit ribosomal RNA". The stretch from base 1 to 105 matches the Rfam family "5.8S ribosomal RNA", at positions 50 to 154 of the family's 154-position model. The record is from RNAcentral.
GAAAUGCGAUAAGUAAUGUGAGUUGCAGAAUUCAGUGAAUCAUCGAAUCUUUGAACGCACCUUGCGCUCCUUGGUAUUCCUUGGAGCAUGCCUGUUUGAGUAUCAUGAAAUCUUCAAAGUAAAUCUUUUGUUAACUCAAUUGGUUUCUACUUUGGUAUUGGAGGUCUUUGCAGCUUCACACCUGCUCCUCUUUGUUCAUUAGCUGGAUCUCAGUGUUAUGCUUGGUUCCACUCGGCGUGAUAAGUUAUCUAUCGCUGAGGACACUGUAAAAGGUGGCCAAGGUAAAUGCAGAUGAACCGCUUCUAAUAGUCCAUUGACUUGGACAAUACUUUUAUGAUCUGAUCUCAAAUCAGGUAGGACUACCCGCUUAACUUAAGC